RNAcentral lists this ribosomal RNA (241 nucleotides) under Pneumocystis carinii. Its description in RNAcentral is "partial large subunit ribosomal RNA". It matches the Rfam family "Bacterial large subunit ribosomal RNA", at positions 849 to 1075 of the family's 2925-position model. The record is from RNAcentral. Lineage: Eukaryota; Fungi; Ascomycota; Pneumocystomycetes; Pneumocystales; Pneumocystaceae.
CUGGUUUUCUGCGAAAGUUGUUUUAGCAAAAUGUUUAUUAAUAAUAUUAGUAGGUAUAGCACUGAAUAUCUAAAGUUUAAAGAGGGAGUAUUAUGUGUAUUUAUCUCGGGUAUUUAAUCUCAGAAUGACUAAUAUUAGUAAAUAAAUAAUCGGACUAUUUGCGAUAAGGUAAAUAGUCAAAAGGGAAACAGCCCAGAACAGAGGAUAAAGCUCCCCAAUUAAUAUUAAGUGAGAAUUCCCA